GGGCCGAGGCGGCGCGGGAUGGAGCCGGCCGGGGCCCCGCCGCCGAGCUGCGCCCCGGCCCGGGAGGCGGAGGAACCCCCGGGGUCCCCGGCGCUCCCCGCCGAGCGACCGCAGGACGGCGAGCCCGCCGGGAAGGCGAGGGAGGAGGCGGCGGCGGAACGGAGCCGCGGUCACGGCCCAGUCGGGCGGGCAGCGCGGGGCAGGGGACGGCGCGGGCCGGAGGAGCGGGGGGCCCGGGCAGGCAGGCGGCCCCGCGUCACCGUGGACAGUUCCAAGGCCAAGACGUCGCUGGAGGCCCUGAAGAUCAGCCUGCGGCAGCUGCGCUGGAGGGAGUUCCCUUUUGGCAGACGCUUGCCGUGCGAUAUCUAUUGGCAUGGAGUAUCCUUUCAUGAUAAUUACAUAUUCUCAGGUCAAGUCAACAAGUUUCCAGGCAUGACGGAGAUGGUGCGUAAAGUUACGCUGAGCCGGGCAGUGAGAACGAUGCAAGAUCUGUUUCCUACAGAAUAUAACUUCUAUCCUCGAUCCUGGAUUCUGCCCGAGGAAUUUCCCCUCUUUGUGACUGAGGUUCGUGUGAUGAAAGAGAGCGAUCCGUCCUGGAAGCCCACUUUCAUUGUGAAACCUGAUGGCGGGUGCCAGGGGGAUGGAAUCUACCUCAUUAAAGACCCCAGUGAUGUCAGGCUGGCUGGCAGCCUGCAGAGCCGCCCGGCGGUGGUCCAGGAGUACAUCUGCAAACCACUGCUUGUUGACAAGCUGAAGUUUGAUAUUCGUCUUUAUGUCUUACUGAAAUCCUUAGAACCUUUAGAGAUUUAUAUAGCCAAAGAUGGACUUUCUAGAUUUUGUACAGAGCCGUAUCAAGAGCCCACUCUAAAAAAUUUGCACCAGGUUUUUAUGCACUUAACUAACUACUCACUAAAUAUCCAUAGUGGGAAUUUCAUCCAUUCUGACAACGCAAACACUGGCAGCAAGAGGACUUUCUCAAGCAUUCUAUGCAGACUGUCUUCCAGAGGAGCUGAUGUCAAAAAGGUUUGGUCAGAUAUAAUUUCACUGGUGAUUAAAACAAUUAUUGCACUGACACCAGAACUGAAAGUUUACUAUCAGUCUGACAUACCAGCAGGAAAGCCUGGGCCAACUUGCUUCCAGAUUUUAGGGUUUGACAUUCUCCUGAUGAAAAACUUGAAGCCCAUGUUGCUAGAAGUAAACGCAAACCCCAGCAUGAGAAUAGAGCACGAGCAAGAGCUCUCCCCUGGGGUGUUUGAAAAUGUCCCAAGUCCUGUUGAUGAAGAAGUGAAAGUAGCUGUUAUCAGAGAUACUCUUCGUCUGGUGGACCCUCAGAAAAAAAAGAGAAAAGAUACCCAAUCUCAGACUUCAGAGCAUGUGUCAGAAACAAGAGAGGAUCUACUGGAUGCAGGACCAGCAGGUGGACUGGAAUACGAUACCAGCAAAAAUGCAGAGGCUGGCCUACCCUCCCUUUGUCUCAAGCAAGUGUUUCCGAAGUAUGCUAAGCAGUUUAAUUAUCUGCGGCUUGUGGACAGGGUGGCUGCACUGUUCAUCCGAUUUCUUGGUGUGAAAGGGACAACAAAAUUGGGGCCAACAGGUUUCCGGACAUUUAUAAGAAACUGCAAACUCAGUAACAGCAAUUUUUCAAUGGCUUCUGUAGAUAUCUUAUACAUUGAUAUCACAAGAAGGUGGAACAGUAUGGGAAUUGAUCACAAAGAAUCAGGAAUGUGUUUGCAAGCCUUUGUUGAAGCUUUCUUCUUCUUGGCUCAGAAAAAAUACAAGUCACUCCCCCUUCAUGAGCAGGUGGCAUCGCUGAUUGACUUCUGCGAGUAUCACCUGGCUGCCCUGGAUGAGAAGCGCCCGCUUUGUGGCCGAGGGAUCGUGGAGCGCCGGAGUGCGGUGGUUCCUUGUCCGACCGAUGGACUUGAGGUCACACCAGCCGUGCAUGCACCCCUCCUAAAUCGCAUGGCCGCAGCUGGUAAAUUUGCAGGUUGUAGAAGUCAUCGCUAUCCUGGUGCUGUCUCACCAGGAGCAGGGAGAGACUGAGAGAGCUGAGAAUUAAUAACCAGGUAUGUACAAACUGCAGGAGGUGGAACAGACUCUUGAAUUCCUUCUUCCGAUGGUCGCAAUUGUUUGUUACAGCUGUUUUUUAUUUAUGCUCUCCAAGAAGUCGACUGCAAGGUCCCGUUCUCAAAUAACGAUCCUUCUUCACAAUGGCCACUUUUUUUUUUUACCUCUCUACUGAGCCUACAGUGCAUCUCACAUGACAAACUGUGCUUUUAUUCUGAAUGUGAAGACAAGGAACAAAAGCGUAGUGGGAAGAUGAUCGGCAUCAUGGGAUUGGGUGCAGUGCCUGAGAGGCACACUCAUGUCAAAGGAAUUGCAUGCUUUGUGUGCACUAAAUGUAUCAUGGAUACCAAUUAAGGAGCUGCAGUCGCAAAUUCCAGUUGUGUGCUCUUGAAAACAAAAACCUGGAAUUACAUUUUUGGUCAGACUUCAGGCUUUGACCCUAUUAUUUCAGUUGCUUGGACUGUACUUGCUGGUAUCAGUACAGAUUUGCUUGUUGCCUAUAGCUAUGCACUUACUUUUUAAAGUCAAUCUUAAACCACUGAAUUCAUAUUUUGGCUUCUACUACUUUGCCAUGAAAAGCACUGUUAAUUUUUUAAAGAAUAAUGAGAGAUGUUUAUCGUUUAUCCUUUUGCUUGCACAGAAACAAUAAGAUCACAGUGAUUCACAGGAAAAAAAACCAACCAACCAACCUACAUUCAGUAAAACUUGUUGAAUUAGGUGGUGUUUUUGCCUUCAGGUAGUAAGCACUAUGCUGCAAAGAGCCUUACAGCAUAAAGGAGUAAGAAGUCAUCCAGGUCCAGAAGUCAUCCAGAAGGCCAGUCCGGUCACUUUAGGCUAAACUAACUGUAUUCUAGGUUUACUUAUUUUCGUACUUUUUUGGUGUUUGUUAUCCUAUUUGGACCUCCGUUAACAUCUAGAGCAAACUUUUUUGGUCUUUGCACAUAAUCUUCAUUCUUCCCUUAUCUACAACUCUCUGCAACUUAGAUCUAUAUUAUUUAACAGGAUAUUUUGUCAAGAAUGCUGGACUCCACUGGAGCUCUUUUGGAGGAGUUCUACAGAAUAGUCUUAUUUUUCAAGCAAUGAACUGUGAGUUGCACAAUCACACUCUUUUUGGGGGGGCUAAGCAGAGACAUGAGACUGGUUGAAAAGGACACGGGUAACUUGGUACAUCAGUGCUGUUCAGUCAGCACUUUUUCUGGUCUUGUAUUUUAUUAUGAUAAUGUGUAAUUUGAUUUUCCUCCAUUGUUUUAUUAUUUAAUGUUAAUAAUCUACUCAUGUUCUAGUGUUUGUCGUACUGUCAAAAAUGACAACGUUGUAAGAAGGUAUGAUGUCUGGGCAGUUAGGUUUGGGUUGAGAAAAUGACCUGAUCUUGAUGUCUGAAUCUACCAGUGGCUGACGUACAAGAAAUGUUGUCUGCCAUACAGGAAGCGUGUUAUCAACGCGGAGAAAGUCCUCACACUUGAUGUCACGAACUAAAUGCACGCACAACAUUGAGUGACCUUUUACUCUAGGAAAUGUUUAGGAUUUACUUUCCUGAUUCUUAGUUUUAAACAGCAUGCCGUUUUCCCAAGUGGCAAUGAGGAGCAUGGCAAUACAAUGCAGAAGUCAAGCUCAGCCUGCAAGAGCCUAAUACCUAGCAUGUGUUAAUAACAAAUGUGGGAGUAGCUGCUUCUCUUUUCCUUCUUUUUCUGUAACACAGGUAAGAGUAGUAGUAGACAAUCAGUUUUUGUUCAGUGGCUAGACUGUUUGUAAUUUUGUGUGGUACAUAGGAGGGCGAUUGUAGAUUAAUGCCACUGCCCUCUGCCUCGUUUAAGUUUCACAAGGAUUAUUGCAGUAUGAAGAUAAAAUGCCAAACUCCGAGGUCUGGCAGCUGUCAGAACAAACGAAGCUGAAAGGGUCAUUUUUUUUUUCAGUUUCAUUGUAAUAUAUUUGAAGACAUUCACAAGCUGAAAAAUGGUUACUUCUCAUUUUGUGACAUCUGACAUUUGUCUUGCGAUUGGCAGUGUGUUACUAGAAAAUAGCUUACAGUUUCCCUCAUCUUGUGAUUGAUGUCCUGUAAAGAGAGUUAUAGAAGAGUAGGAUUUGAAACAGUACAGAUGUGAAUACUUUUCUUUGGAGCUUUCAAGUAGUGCAAUCUAUGCCCUCUAUAAUCUACAAUCUAUACCCUCUUUUUGGCUACUAUGGAAGUUACCCUGAUAUCAGUGGAUUAAAUUAACUAUUGUAUAUAAAGAACAUCGGAGAUCUUUCUAUUCUCUGGAUCUCAUAGAGAUUUUCAUAACCUGUGCAUACACAGGCUGAUGCAGUAUACUCUGUUUCCCAUUUCAAAUAUGAAGGGCCCUUGUAGAGUUGAUAAAAUAUUCAAUUAUCUGCCUCUAGUAACCCAGUGUUCAUAUAUUUAUCUAAUUGGAAAAUUGAAUGCCAUACUAUUCCUGGGGGGGGAGUGGAAUAAAAUAGGAGUGUACUUCAGAGACAUCACAACAAAGUCACAUUUCUCUUCCCUCCCAUCUAAUGCAAUUUCCUUGCAAUAUUAUUUAGCAUCCAAAGCAAUUUCACGUAGCCCUUAAGUUAGCGGUCUGUGCAAACACAAGAAAAUGACCAGAGAUACUGAAUUCAGAAUAUGAAUGCUAAUGCACUGAUAAUCUGUUAAUCCUGAGAUAGCUUUCUAGCAGAAAAACAAUAUAUGAAAGGUAGGCAAGCAUUUUUUAAUAUAAUCUUUUCAGAGAAUAAUAUAGCAUUCAGUAUUCCAUUUAUGAGCAUAUAUAAACAUUGCGUACCAGUGAAAUCUUUCUUGUUAUCAGACACGUUGGGUCUGGUAUUCUUCACUGGGCAUAAAUCUAAAUAAAACACCUGAACAUCUAAAGCAGAUUUGAGGCAAAUGUGUACAGAACUUCAGUCUAGUCAUCUCCCCUCCCUGCAAGCUUGUCUCUAGCCUGAGUGUGCCUAAAUUUGUUGAGUGACUCCUUGUUUGACUUCAAGCUAUGUGAGCUGUUACUCUGCAUAGAGCUCUUGUCGUCUGAGUUGGUUGAAAUUUGUCUUCUGGCUCUAACUAGAUUUGGCACUUGAAACUGAAUUGCCCUCUCUGCCCAGAUUGCUUUACUUGCCAUGCACUCCUAGCAACUUUCUUUCAAAACAGGUUUUGAAAUGGAGGUACUGAGCUAAUUAGACGCUUAAUACUUGCUCAGGUGUGAGACCCAAGUCCACCUGCUUCAGAGUUUCUUUUCAGCCGUGGCUCUCCUCCCCCUGCAUUAACCUUGUGUUCUGCCCAUCAUCAGGUGAUCAGAGCCCUCUUCCAAGACAUGGAGGAUGCAGUGUGGAAACCUGUGUGAUGAGGAGGGAUUUCAGCUCUCCCUCCUCUGAUCUGAACUUUGCCUAGUUCAUUGAAAACAGGAAACAAUAAAAAUCUCUGCACAGAGCAUGACAUCCCCAUAACGAACCCUUUGUCAAGCACGAAGCUGGCCGCAGCGCAGCCUGGCACUCCCUCUCCUCCACAGUGGGCACCAGCAGCAAAUCCAGACCCUGCACCUCACUCACAGCUUGGGGACAGCAAGCUCAGGUAACCUUCUGUUUGUUCUGUGGUUAUGCGUGUGGCAGGGAACACAGUGCCCUGGAACUAUUGCUUUACAAAGACUUGUCCCCAGCGUUUGUGAGAGCAGAAGCUGGGAGAGGAACCAAGGAGCCAUUCUGCAGGGCCCAGUUCCUCCCUCCACUCACGCAGGAGCCUGGGGCCUGCCCUGCUCAUAGGGGCUGCCCAGGGCCCCCAGCCCCAACAGCUCCCACACGGUCACCACAUUGCACUGAGUGAGCCCUGACCAUCCUGCUGGGCUCUGCCCCUUUAUGGGCAGAUUUAGUUAAACACUAAUUUGCUGUGCAAAUGCCCUCUGGACAGCUCCCCACUGUAAAAGUCAGGGGCGGCACAAAAGCUACAUAAGGAAGGCCAAAGGCUCAGGGAUGGCUCUGGGGAUGGGGCUGUGCUCCAGGGGGAGUCACAGGAGGAGCGGGCCAGGCUCCUGCCAGCCCUCGUCCAGCACGUGCUGACUGUACUGAAGGUGCUGCCCACCGCAGGCUCUGCCCAGCUCCCUGCAUUUCGCUUACUGCAGUGGCAAGGACAUUACUCCUUGUUGGGAGGGGGGAGGUGUAUCCUCUGGGCAGCUUGGAAGGAAAAGGUUACUUCUGUUUAAACAUUAAACACUGAUUUAAAUCCAACAGUGACAGCGAUUCUCAAAUAUAUCUUAUUUCCUUAUGCCACUCAUCUCACACUUGAUCUUUCCAUCCCCUCAAUGUGCUGGCAUUAGCAUCUCCCACAAAGGCUCAGUCAAGCGCGCCGUCCGCAGUAAGGAGCUGGGUUCUCUGGGGAGAGAGCAGCCGUUCUCUGAAGCCGCGGCUCACACCUGCUGCUGCACGGUCUCUCUGGCCAGGCCUCCUCCUGCGGCAGCGCCCUCCGCGGGUUAACAAUUACUGCUGUUUCUGAAUUCUCCAUUCUCUGUAAUCUGCAAUUUAGUUGGGUUUGUGGGGGAGAUCCCAUUACGUGUCUGCAUGCUGUACCUCUCUUUCAGCUGAGUAAGGGCACUCAUUAACCGUGCGUUGGCAGCAUCCAAUGAAGCAAUGCGUUUCUCCUGCAAAGAAACAGGCCGAGGGAGCUGUCAGUGGAAAUGCACGGAGACCUGUCUCUGUGAUGCCACGGGUUGUUCUGAGCUAGCAACCCACAGGCCUCUGGGACCAGGACCCUUUGGCAGUCUGCUGCUGAUAGCAGGUCCACAAACGGCUUUGCCUGGGUUUUCCCCUGCUGCUGCCAGGUGAGCAGACGUCUCUGCAAGCUGCGUGCUCCAGGCUGGCCUGACAGCAGCCACGUCCCAGCCAGAAGCCUCUGAGCCAGGCUGGGCUGAUGCUGGGGCAGGGUGCUCUGCAACCUCCCAGCAGUUCCGUGUUGGACUGCAUGGCUGUGGCUGUAGCCUAGAUUAGAACUGUGCUGGGCUGAGCUGCACCAGGCUUGUGCAAAGCCUGCGUUUCCUUCAGGGAGGCUAGAGUGAAAGCCUCUGAAAUUCUGGGUUGGGACAUAAAUUUAGGAUUACUUCUAUGAGGAAUAAACAGUCUCUCUACAGGUAGCUCCAGAAGCAUCUGCAGGGGAACACCCGGAGUUCUGCAGGGCUGCAGGGAUGGUGGGCAGCAGUUCUGCAGCCCUGACCCCAUUCACAGAGCAGCUCUGGCUACAGGAGAUCCCUGUCAGAGCUUCUCCCCUGCUCCCAAGGGUUACUGCCUGCCUCACAGAAGCUUUGGUGCAUCAGGCUUUUAAACAAGCAGAAUCUGUGCUGAAUUAAUUUUAUCAUACCAUGUUCUGAACAAAAUGGAGAUAAAGUUGUUUUUCUUAUUUUUCAAUGAUACAGAAAUUAAUUGUGUUGUUUGCUCUAACUGCAGCUGUUAUGAAGACGAUAAGAUUCCUGUUCUAAACGUAGUUCUCUCCCAAGGUGGUUAUUCCUGUCAGUGUUUAAUUGAUUUUGUUAGUGUAAAUAAAUGCCUUAAAUGAC
This is an RNA transcript of Numida meleagris (helmeted guineafowl), 7589 nucleotides long. It is a transcript of the gene named tubulin tyrosine ligase like 11, with no coding region annotated. The transcript has 10 exons. The record is from RefSeq and is a predicted model, not a curated record. Lineage: Eukaryota; Metazoa; Chordata; Aves; Galliformes; Numididae.